CUAUACUACUAAUUCAAAGUACAAAGAAAAAGAAAAAGAAAAAUCCCUGUCAUAUGCUGGCAUCCAUCAGUAGAUGCUCUCAGCGUAGAUCAACAUCUGAGUCAUCAUCAUCCUCAUCCUCCUGGACAUCCUCAAAGUCUUCAUCAUCCUCAUGGUCAUCAUCCUGUCCUCCUGAAAUUCCAGCAGCUCCGGACCCACUACCAUGUGCCUGUCCUCGAGGCCAAGCCAUCACACUACGGAACUCAUCCAUAGUCCACCUGUGCACUGGUGGUUGGUCAUAAAGAACUAUAAUCAUCUCAGCAGUGGCCACCUGCCCUCUGUAAAGGGACUUCAUCCUCGCCUCCAUCAUAGACAUGUACAUGUCUCUCAUCUGAAAAGGCUCAGGCUGCUGUGCCGGUGCACCUGCAGGCUCAUCCUCCUGCUGCGCUGCUGCCCUCCUAGGACGUCUCCUAGG
RNAcentral lists this long non-coding RNA (454 nucleotides) under Vigna radiata. RNAcentral describes it as "long non-coding RNA (VRAD_LNC014999)". Lineage: Eukaryota; Viridiplantae; Streptophyta; Magnoliopsida; Fabales; Fabaceae. The record is from RNAcentral.